This 996-nucleotide long non-coding RNA is filed under the name Lactuca sativa (garden lettuce). Its description in RNAcentral is "long non-coding RNA (LSAT_LNC003492)". The record is from RNAcentral. Lineage: Eukaryota; Viridiplantae; Streptophyta; Magnoliopsida; Asterales; Asteraceae.
CCAGUACCCCAAAGCUAUGAUGCCAACGAAUCAACUUGGAAGAACACAUUUCAUGCCCUCAUUUCAUUUCCUCAUCCUCUCACCCUGCAACUUAAAGUAUAUGAAACUUAGUCAUGUGAUCAAAACAAAAUACAUAUGCUCAUACACCUAUAUUAAUACAAUACAAAAUAAGUCCUAAACAACAUAAUAUCACUUGUCUACUGAAGUAUCAAUAACCAAAAAUACCAUGACGCGUCAUAAACUAAAUUUUAAUUACUUCCAUAGAUGGUUGAUGCAAAAAAGGGGGGGAAUCAAUUUGUAUAUCCAGAAUACUCACUUUCUUGAAGGUUGCUAUUAUAUUAACAGGAACCCAACCUUCUUCAUCCAAAAAAGCGUGCAAAAAAACAUCCCGCUAUGGAAUGAAAACUAGCUAACAAGAAGAAAUGCUUCAUUUCAUUCCUACAUUGCAAACAAAAAAUCAAGAUUUUUAAAAUGAAGUUUCACGCAUAAUCUUGAUAUAUAAAUUAAGCCAUCGUGAAUACAAUAAAAGAUGAAGACUUUUGGAAUGAAAAGUUAAACGCUAACUGCCUGGAGCAUCCCACAAAAUAAUAAAUAGAAAAAAGAAUUCAAUAAAUAAAUAAACAAUAACAAAUGUUUAAAUUUAAAAAUGAAUCAAGAAACUAUCAUGAUUGCAGGAGUUAAGAGGCAUUUAUUAGUGAAAAUAAACUUAUUAAAUUAAAAAAACAAACUAUCAAAUGAAAACCUUACCAAAAAGCUGUAUAACUUGAUGUCUUAUAUGUUGACGAUUAAAGUUUUUAUCUACAUUCCACACUACUCCUGUACUAUGCUUUCCCUGUCUUGCUCAACAUCCUAGAUAUCACACAAAAAACUUAGAUUUAUUGUUUAAACGAUUAUUUUAAAAUUUUCACACUAAAUUGGGUGAGAAUUUUGAGUAUUGGUACCAGUAAAGACGAAAACUGAAACAAUUAUCAUAGAGAAUAAAGGAACCAAGAUUAC